RNAcentral lists this transfer-messenger RNA (360 nucleotides) under Spongiibacteraceae. RNAcentral describes it as "KMU-158 sp014705705 Standard tmRNA". It matches the Rfam family "transfer-messenger RNA". Rfam says of the family: Bacterial tmRNA, also known as 10Sa RNA or SsrA, is named for its dual tRNA and mRNA-like properties. Its role is to liberate the mRNA from a stalled ribosome. To accomplish this part of the tmRNA is used as a reading frame that ends in a translation stop signal. The record is from RNAcentral. Lineage: Bacteria; Pseudomonadati; Pseudomonadota; Gammaproteobacteria; Cellvibrionales. RNAcentral also lists the same sequence under 1 other name.
GGGGCCGAUAUGGAUUCGACGCCGGUUACAAAGCUCUUGAGUGCAUGCCGUGAUGACAGCGAAUCACGUAAAUCCAAAGCUGUUAACUUAUAGUUGCCAACGACGACAACUACGCUCUAGCGGCUUAAACCCCGUUAGCGGUCAUAAGUGGAUGCUUGUAAACACGAAGUGACCGUCAUAUAGAACAAGCUAGCGAGGCGGUAUGUCUGAGGCCAAGUCGCGAAACCUUUGAACUCGGAAUCGCCAAUUACGUCCUGCCCGUCGGGCUGUUUGCGGUUAAAUCAAUUGACGGAUUCUAAGCAUGUAGAGCCCUGAGUGGCGGACUGACGGACGGGGGUUCAAAUCCCCCCGGCUCCACCA